This 404-nucleotide unclassified non-coding RNA is filed under the name soil metagenome. Its description in RNAcentral is "partial contains 5.8S ribosomal RNA, internal transcribed spacer 2, and large subunit ribosomal RNA". The stretch from base 1 to 121 matches the Rfam family "5.8S ribosomal RNA", at positions 35 to 154 of the family's 154-position model. The record is from RNAcentral.
GAUGAAGAACGCAGUGAAAUGCGAUAAGUAAUGUGAAUUGCAGAAUUCAGUGAAUCAUCGAAUCUUUGAACGCACCUUGCGCCCUUUGGCCAUUCCGAAGGGCAUGCCUGUUUGAGUAUCAUGAACACCUCAACUCUUUAUGGUUUUCCAUGAUGAGCUUGGACUCUGGGGGUUUUGCUGGCUCACAGUCGGCUCCUCUAAAAUGAAUCAGCUUACCAGUGUUUGGUGGGUAUCAUGGGUGUGAUAACUAUCUACGAUUGUGGUUUUUCCACCAGGUAACCUUCAGCAGUGGAGGUUCGCUGGAGCUCAUAGAUGUCUCUCCUCAGUGAGGACAGCCCUUUGAAUGUUUGAUCUCAAAUCAGGUAGGACUACCCGCUGAACUUAAGCAUAUCAAUAAGCGAGGA